UACGUAGGGUGCGAGCGUUAAUCGGAAUUACUGGGCGUAAAGCGUGCGCAGGCGGUGAUGUAAGACAGGUGUGAAAUCCCCGGGCUUAACCUGGGAACUGCAUUUGUGACUGCAUCGCUGGAGUGCGGCAGAGGGGGAUGGAAUUCCGCGUGUAGCAGUGAAAUGCGUAGAUAUGCGGAGGAACACCGAUGGCGAAGGCAAUCCCCUGAGCCUGCACUGACGCUCAUGCACGAAAGCGUGGGGAGCAAACAGG
Molecule: ribosomal RNA, 253 nt
Filed under: uncultured bacterium
Lineage: Bacteria
Description: partial 16S ribosomal RNA
Rfam family: Bacterial small subunit ribosomal RNA
Source: RNAcentral